Molecule: transfer RNA, 73 nt
Filed under: Bacteroides sp. AF15-23LB
Lineage: Bacteria; Pseudomonadati; Bacteroidota; Bacteroidia; Bacteroidales; Bacteroidaceae
Description: tRNA-Gly
Rfam family: tRNA
About the family: Transfer RNA (tRNA) molecules are approximately 80 nucleotides in length. Their secondary structure includes four short double-helical elements and three loops (D, anti-codon, and T loops).
Source: RNAcentral
GCGGAAUUAGCUCAGGUGAUAGAGCAUUAGCCUUCCAAGCUGAGGGUCGCGGGUUUGAGCCCCGUCUUCCGCU